AAUGGGCGAAAGCCUGACGGAGCAAGACCGCGUGGGGGAAGAAGGCUCUUGGGUUGUAAACCCCUUUUCUCAGGGAAGAAGAACUGACGGUACCUGAGGAAUAAGCAUCGGCUAACUCCGUGCCAGCAGCCGCGGUAAGACGGAGGAUGCAAGCGUUAUCCGGAAUUAUUGGGCGUAAAGCGUUCGUAGGUGGCUGUUCAAGUCUGCCGUUAAAGACCGGGGCUUAACUCCGGAAAAACUGUGGAAACUGAACAGCUAGAGUAUGGUAGGGGUAAGGGGAAUUCCUGGUGUAGCGGUGAAAUGCGUAGAUAUCAGGAAGAACACCGGUGGCGAAGGCGCCUUACUGGGCCAUAACUGACACUGAGGGACGAAAGCUAGGGGAGCGAAAGGGAUUAGAUACCCC
Molecule: ribosomal RNA, 403 nt
Filed under: uncultured cyanobacterium
Lineage: Bacteria; Bacillati; Cyanobacteriota
Description: bacterial SSU rRNA
Rfam family: Bacterial small subunit ribosomal RNA
Source: RNAcentral